GACAGAGGGUGCAAACGUUGUUCGGAAUUACUGGGCGUAAAGCGCGUGUAGGCUGCUCAGAAAGUCGGAUGUGAAAGCCCUGGGCUUAACCUGGGAAGUGCAUUCGAAACUGCGGGGCUGGAGUCCUGGAGAGGAAGGCGGAAUUCUCGGUGUAGAGGUGAAAUUCGUAGAUAUCGAGAGGAACACCGGUGGCGAAGGCGGCCUUCUGGACAGUGACUGACGCUGAGACGCGAAAGCGUGGGGAGCAAACAGG
Molecule: ribosomal RNA, 253 nt
Filed under: uncultured bacterium
Lineage: Bacteria
Description: partial 16S ribosomal RNA
Rfam family: Bacterial small subunit ribosomal RNA
Source: RNAcentral